RNAcentral lists this transfer RNA (84 nucleotides) under Felis catus (domestic cat). It matches the Rfam family "tRNA". Rfam says of the family: Transfer RNA (tRNA) molecules are approximately 80 nucleotides in length. Their secondary structure includes four short double-helical elements and three loops (D, anti-codon, and T loops). Lineage: Eukaryota; Metazoa; Chordata; Mammalia; Carnivora; Felidae. The record is from Rfam by way of RNAcentral.
GCCUGGGUGGCUCAGUGGUUAAGCUUCUGACUUCAGCUCAGGUCAUAAUCUCAUAAUUUGUGAGUUCAAGCCCCACAUUGGGCU